AUUGAACGCUGGCGGCAGGCCUAACACAUGCAAGUCGAGCGGAUGAAGGGAGCUUGCUCCUGGAUUCAGCGGCGGACGGGUGAGUAAUGCCUAGGAAUCUGCCUGGUAGUGGGGGAUAACGUCCGGAAACGGGCGCUAAUACCGCAUACGUCCUGAGGGAGAAAGUGGGGGAUCUUCGGACCUCACGCUAUCAGAUGAGCCUAGGUCGGAUUAGCUAGUUGGUGGGGUAAAGGCCUACCAAGGCGACGAUCCGUAACUGGUCUGAGAGGAUGAUCAGUCACACUGGAACUGAGACACGGUCCAGACUCCUACGGGAGGCAGCAGUGGGGAAUAUUGUACAAUGGGCGAAAGCCUGAUCCAGCCAUGCCGCGUGUGUGAAGAAGGUCUUCGGAUUGUAAAGCACUUUAAGUUGGGAGGAAGGGCAGUAAGUUAAUACCUUGCUGUUUUGACGUUACCAACAGAAUAAGCACCGGCUAACUUCGUG
Molecule: ribosomal RNA, 484 nt
Filed under: uncultured bacterium
Lineage: Bacteria
Description: partial 16S ribosomal RNA
Rfam family: Bacterial small subunit ribosomal RNA
Source: RNAcentral